AAGUCGUAACAAGGUUUCCGUAGGUGAACCUGCGGAAGGAUCAAUAGUGAGAUAGUGUGGGGGAGGGGAUGAUGGUAGUUGAGAACCCCUGGUUCUUGAUUAUCUUUAUCCAACCCCUUAUUAACAUUUACGCGUGACUAGUAUGACAGAGUAAAAGACACAUAAUAUACAACUUUUAACAAGGGAUCUCUUGGCUCUU
RNAcentral lists this unclassified non-coding RNA (199 nucleotides) under fungal sp. RNAcentral describes it as "partial internal transcribed spacer region". The stretch from base 1 to 46 matches the Rfam family "Eukaryotic small subunit ribosomal RNA", at positions 1786 to 1831 of the family's 1831-position model. The record is from RNAcentral. Lineage: Eukaryota; Fungi. RNAcentral also lists the same sequence under 1 other name.